Molecule: ribosomal RNA, 94 nt
Filed under: uncultured bacterium
Lineage: Bacteria
Description: partial 16S ribosomal RNA
Rfam family: Bacterial small subunit ribosomal RNA
Source: RNAcentral
CCGCGUGAGCGAUGAAGCCCUUCGGGGUGUAAAGCUCUUUCGUCGGGGAAGAUAAUGACGGUACCCGGAGAAGCAGCUGCGGCUAACUACGUGC